This 454-nucleotide unclassified non-coding RNA is filed under the name Neodiprion pinetum (white pine sawfly). RNAcentral's name for it is "protein PET100 homolog, mitochondrial, transcript variant X5". Lineage: Eukaryota; Metazoa; Arthropoda; Insecta; Hymenoptera; Diprionidae. The record is from RNAcentral.
GAUUACGAUAAGCCCCAAAAGGCUAGCAAUCUUUACACAUCUUCAUUCUUCAGUCAACGACAAUUGUAUGUUAUUCGUUCAGUUAACCACAAUGAAAGAAACAGAAAUUGAAAUUUCAUCACUUCAAGUAACUCUAGAAUUUUCAACGGCAUUCCAGAAUUAAUUAAUGCGACCUGUGAAUACAAAUUCUCAAAACGCAAAUCUCACGGUGAAUUUAACCUAACUCUCAAGACAAACUAUCCGGCUAGGGCGCGACACGAAGUUGACAAGAUAUAAAAAAUUUUGUGCUGAAGUGCAGCGGGUUCUAACGAUUGGGUAUGUUUCACUACUUUAACCAGCCAGAAGUUUAUGAAAAUUGGGUCACAAAAACGAAACGUGAAAUCUACCCCAUGGUCAACAAAGAAGAGGAUGAGGCGUUGAGACGAAAAAUUAGGGAAAUACGUGAAAAACAGGA